Long non-coding RNA from Raphanus sativus (radish), 1302 nucleotides. RefSeq lists it as uncharacterized. The record is from RefSeq and is a predicted model, not a curated record. Lineage: Eukaryota; Viridiplantae; Streptophyta; Magnoliopsida; Brassicales; Brassicaceae. The transcript is spliced from 2 exons.
UUCUCUUUCUUUUUCCUGCUUUUUUUAAUUAAAAAAAUAGUAAGCAUCCCCAUUAACAACAGCGUUAAUGGUGCUCUAACGCGCUACGCUCUAACAAAGUGGGAUGUUGAUCUUUCAUUUGAGUGGGCCAUUGGGCCUUUUUCAUUCUCGGCCUCAUUGUUAGGGUUUCUAUCCUCUUCACUACAUCGACGUUAUCGCCUCCUUCCUCUUUGUAUCUUUCGUAUCCGCUGUUCUUCCUGUAACGUUUUUUCGUCUUUGGUUCCUAUCCUUUGAGACGUUACGAGAGGUCUUCAUUAAUCGCCAUUAAAAACUCCUUAACUCCAUCACGCACAUCAAGCACGAUGCGUCAUUCGUUGGUACUUAUCCCUGUUCUAGGCGGCGUUUCAUCACCUAUAACUAGUGAUUUGAAGGCCGGCCUUCUUCCGAGAAGCUAGAAACGUUAAACGUUGAUGAGGUGAACAUGCUCUCAUGAUCACAGUGUUUUUGGACAACUCAUGCGUUUACAUUUAUAAGUUCCACUCUUUUAGUCCAGUUCCUUAUUGAAUAUCUUUUGAAGCAAUAUUUUUAAACCGUUUGAUGAUGAUGCUUUCUUUUCACAUUUGAUAGUUUCAACCAUGUGUCAUUACCGCAUACGAUUAUUCUUCAAUUAAAUAGUGCUUUAGGAGUGAUAGAAAGCUCUGCUGCCACCAUUCUCAAUUUGGGUCAACUCAUAAAACAUAACGAGAGUGCAACUGUGCUAAAUUCAAGCAACAAAAACGAAUCAGUGCCAAAGAUUUCGUUUCAAGGAUGGAUAUGAUCUAUCGCAGUGGUGAGUCUAAUGAAAGUUGUUGGAGCACGGUGGAGAAGUGGUCCACGGUAAUGGCGAGCGAUGGCCUUAACGGCAUAGUUGAGUUACCAGGACGUGGUGGGCUCUCGGUAUGGCCGUGAUGGUUGUAUCAUUUUCAACAACAACAAAAUACAGAUCGGAGCAGAGGAUGGAAGGAAACAGAGGUGGAGAAGAGAAGAAGAAACAGGAAGAAAAUAGUUUCGAAGAUGUGUAUCUAUGGAGAACAUGUCAAAAAGCCAGAAAACUGUUGUUGGCGUUAUUACAAUUGAGCGGAAGCCAUAUAAUUGUCAUUGCUUCUUCCUGGACAAGAAGCCACUAGAACUUGCAUCAUUUAUCUAUCUUACAUGGUUUUAAUUUUUUAACGUCAUGUUUAAGUUUAUCACUACCAAAUAUUUUUGUUUUUUAUUGAUCCAUAAAUGUUAAACGUCAUGUUUAACUUAAUUACUAAUAUAAAUGAAUAAAAAGAUUAGAAUUCA